Nematostella vectensis (starlet sea anemone) is the source of this 2648-nucleotide long non-coding RNA. RefSeq lists it as uncharacterized. The record is from RefSeq and is a predicted model, not a curated record. Lineage: Eukaryota; Metazoa; Cnidaria; Anthozoa; Actiniaria; Edwardsiidae. The transcript is spliced from 3 exons.
GUUUUUCUCACCGGGAAGUAAGGUCUAUAUGAUCUCAGGAAAUUUAAAAUAUUUAUGAGAAUAAUGCUUAAAGAUCAUAUUUCAUCUUCUCAUGCUGUUAACUUUGGUGAAAGUAAUGCACGUCCUUUUAAUUUCCUUAACGUAUGCGCCACCGCAGUAUGUACUGUAUUACUAUGGACGAAGUGGACUAUCUGUCCUUACCAAAGUAAACGUUGAUUGCUUCAUCAUAUCCAAUGACCCAGAGCUGUCAACUGCAAAUAUUACGUCAUAGAACGACGCUUUUACAUCACGCUUCGUCCGACUGGCUCCCGGAAACUCGGGUGCUCUACGGAGUAUUCGUGUGGUGAAUUUGGUCAUGCUGAGUGCUUUAUGUAAGAAGCCUCCUCGAACCGGAGCGGCAGCGUCGACGCCCUCUAAAUAACUAGAAGGUGGCUGGAGUAACGAGGUUGAGUAUGACCAGAGUUUUUCUGCUAUUUUUAAGAGCCAAUUGGGAAAGUAUACUGAUACACCGAAAAGUGAAACGGUUAAAGGUCGUGUAAAACGAGCUGACAAUUUUUGGCGUGACACGAUUGAUGCUCCAGAAUUUGUUUUUAGAAUGAUUAAAAUGGGUUAUCGCUUGCCUUUCGGUAUGUACCCACCUCGUUGUUUUUUGAACAAUAGUUUGUCGUCUUUAAGAAACAAAGAUUUUGUUUCAAAAGCCAUUUAUGAGUUGCUUAGCAACCAAUGUAUAGUUGAAAAUGAUAAAGCACCGUAUUGCGUUAAUCCCUUAACCGUUGCGAAAGGGAAAAAACCUCGUCUAGUUAUCGAUCUGAGACAUGUUAAUGAGUACCUAGUGAAACAAAUAUUUAAGUAUGAAGAUUUACGCUCAUUAUCACAGGUCAUAGAAGAGGGAAAUUGGUUCUUUACAUGGGAUUUAAAAUCCGGUAAUCAUCAUGUUGAUAUAGAUGAAGAACAUCAGCAAUACCUAGGAUUUUCUUGGGUGUUCAGUGAUGGCACUCGUAGAUAUUUUACCUUUACCGUUUAGCCAUUUGGCAUGAGCUCUGCAUGUUUUUGUUUCAUCAAAUUUCUCCGUCCUUUGGUCAAAAGGUGGCGCUCUAUGGGACUAUUUACGGAAGAAGACAUCGGCCGGAGCUCAACCUACAGAGAGCUUAAGGCGGUCUUUCUUAUAUUGAGCAACCGCGCAAUAAGAAAGCUAAAGUAUUCACCGACAAUCAAGGCGCGGCCAGAAUUAUUUCUAUCGGUAGUCCUUCUCCAGAGCUUCACAGAUUGCAUUGAACAUUUUUGACAUUUGUCUCAAGAAUGGUAUUUCGUUAGAGGUUGAAUGGAUCCCUCGCGAGUACAACCAGCGUGCUGAUGUAUUAAGUCGAUUUGUUGACAAAGAUGACUGGUCCGUGAAUCAAUCGGUUUUCAGGCUUCUCGAUGCGAAAUGGGGUCCUCACACAAUUGAUCGAUUUGCAUCGGUCUAUAAUACCAAGCUAACAUGUUAUAAUUCCAGGUUCGCUUCACCCGGGAGUGCAGGCGUCGAUGCUUUUGCAUGACUGGACUUGCAAUAAAAACUGGCUCUGCCCACCUGUCAGCCUUAUCGUCCCGACUAUCAGAAAGCUUCAGAGUUGUAAGGGUCAGGGAACACUUAUAAUUCCUGAGUGGCCCUCUAGCCAUUUUUGGCCUUUCUUGCAUUCAUCAGCCUUGAAUUUCAAGUCUUACGUGACGAAAGUAUUUCUAUUACCUAGAAUAGAAGAUCUCUUAAUUGAAAGUCCGGGUCAGGCCGUCGCGUACAAGCACAAGGGCUCCGUUUUUUCGGGCUGUCCCUCUCUCAAUAUGAUCGCGCUUCGCUUAGAUUUGUCCAUUUAGCCACUCGUUUCAGGCCUAUCACCAGUUGGUGCAUGAAUUGAUCCCUAUUUUACAUCAUUUCAGUGUGAAUGUGGAACUAACACAAUCACCAUUUAGGUGUAAAUAAUGCGGGGUGUGCAAGAACCAUUUAGGUGUGCAAUAUGAGAGUACUAUAACCACUUACGUUAACAAUGCGUUGAAUGCGCAGGGACCUUUUUGGUUUUAGGUUGGUUUGGUUUUUGGUAUUUCAAUUAUUGUUUACUUACGCUGUUUGCGUAUCACCAUUUAGGUGUCUGUAUCACCAUUUGGGUGUCUGUAUCACCAUUUGGGUGUCUGUAUCACCAUUUGGGUGUCUGUAUCACCAUUUGGAUGUCUGUAUCACCAUUUGGGUGUCUGUAUCACCAUUUGGGUGUCUGUAUCACCAUUUGGGUGUCUGUAUCACCAUUUGGGUGUCUGUAUCACCAUUUGGGUGUCUGUAUCACCAUUUGGGUGUCUGUAUCACCAUUUGGGUGUCCCGGUAUCACCAGUUGGGUGUCUGUAUCACCAUUUGGGUGUCUGUAUCACCAUUUGGGUGUAAGGACGGACGCGUUAUAUUAAUGCGCCGCUACACGUGUUGUGAUUUUUUAAGUUUCUUUCAGAUAUUAUGGAAGGGUAUUCGAUAUUAGACAUGCCAAAGGACAUUGGUCUUCAGCAGUCGUUGCCCGGCCUCGUUGAUUUACUUCUCGGUGCCAAGGCUUACACGGUCGAAAUACAAUGUUCUCCAUGUAUUUGUGCGUAUUUGUGUUUAUUCCGAAGAUAAGGGUAGAAAUAAUUUUACA